Molecule: transfer RNA, 86 nt
Filed under: Streptomyces brasiliensis
Lineage: Bacteria; Bacillati; Actinomycetota; Actinomycetes; Kitasatosporales; Streptomycetaceae
Description: tRNA-Ser
Source: RNAcentral
GCGGGCCUUGGCCAUGGCCUUUUCGGCGGUCUUGAAAACCGUCGUGGCAGCGAUGUCACCGUGGGUUCAAAUCCCACCGCCUCCGC